RNAcentral lists this ribosomal RNA (2993 nucleotides) under Creolimax fragrantissima. RNAcentral describes it as "eukaryotic LSU rRNA". The stretch from base 1588 to 2993 matches the Rfam family "Eukaryotic large subunit ribosomal RNA", at positions 1891 to 3309 of the family's 3401-position model. Lineage: Eukaryota; Ichthyosporea; Ichthyophonida. The record is from RNAcentral.
GCAUCAGCCUCCGCUAGUGCAUCAGCCUCCGCUAGUGCAUCAGCCUCAGUGCAUCAGCAUCAGCAAGUCCAUCUGCAAGUGCAUCAGCAUCAGCUAGUGCAUCAGCCUCCGCUAGUGCAUCAGCCUCCGCUAGUGCAUCAGCAUCAACUAGUCCACAUCAACUAGUCCAUCACCAAGUGCAUCAGCAUCUGCUAGUGCAUCAGCAUCUGCUAGUGCAUCAGCAUCCGCAAGUCCAUCCGCAAGUCCAUCCGCAAGUCCAUCCGCAUCAACUAGUGCAUUAUUCUGAGCUUUUCCGUCUUCAAGUACGUCCGCAUCUGUAAGUGCGUCAACCUCAGCGAGUGAAUUUGCAAGUCCAUCAGCAUCGGCUUGUGUAUCACCAAGUGCAUUGUCCUGUACUAGUCCAUUUGCAUGUGCGUCAGCAUGUGUCAUUGGAUCAAUGUCGUCUAUUCCAUCAGCAAUUGCAUCCACGUGCCCUAUUCUAUUCCCAAUCGCAUUCGAGCCCACUAUUCUAUGGGAGUGCAUCCGCAUCCAGGUGUUCAUCACCAAGUACAACGUCCUCCGCUAGGUUUGGUCCAUCUUCUUUUGCGCAAGUUCCUUCCGGUGUCGCUUCUUCAACUAGUCCAUCUCGCGCGUUACAAUGUAUGCCCACUGAACUUCUUCAAAUUGUGCCCCAGCGUUUUCUAGGCCAUCUGCCGGGGUACAGGCUUCUUUGGGUCCCUCACUAUCUGGUCGGACUGCGACAAUUGUGUAAAUUUUUAAUCCAUGUCUCAUCGGUGGCUAGUUCGUCCACCAAAUUCCUAAAUUUCAUGUAGUCAAUCCCUUCCUGCCUCCAGAUCACCAGAUGCAUCUGCAAUUACCUCAAAUAGUUGAUCUGCAAAUACUUCAACCCCGGCAAGUGCCAUUGCUUCAGAUAGUUCAUUAGUAAGUGUUUCACCGUCAGCUACCGUUUAACCGCUGGCAAGUCAAUUGCGCGUGUAUGAUACCCGCUUAUGUUUUGUAACGGACGCGCACUGCACUAAUGAUGUGAACGAGAAUUCAAUACUCUUGAAUGUUCUGCUAAUCUCUUAAACCUCUAUUGUGCUGAGUAUUAAUCAUGAAAAUUACAUUCCUAGUGAGUGCUUCCUCCAGUUCAAACGUCUUGCCGCUACAUUGUUUUGGAUUGUUUAGUUACAUAGCUGUACCAUCCUUUCGUCUGACAAACUUUGCUAUCCAGUUGACCAAGCAACUGUAACAAUGUUUCUGUAGGUGAAUGUAUGGGGAGCAUCGAUAUCAAAUAUCUUUAUUGUUGAACGUUUGGAGCAUAUUGCACACUUUAAAACUCUUGGACCAUUUGUGAAGUAGAAGAAACUUAUUCUAGAUGAGAAUCCUGCAAAAUAUAGAUCGAAAAUUGAUUAACUAUUUCAUUCUUGCAUCUGUUGAAAUAAAUCUUAAUUAUGAUGAAUGUUACAUCUUUGUUGGUUUCUAGGCUCAAUUGCCGAAGAACGGAACAAUCUGUGAUAGGUAGUAUGAAUUGCAAAAUUUGUGAAUCCUUGAGAGCAACUUACUGUUUUGGUUAUUCAAAGGAACUAUGCUCUUUUGUCUGUCAUUUGGAAUAUGAAAUGUGGAAUUGAAGUCUCGCGGCCUUGGGUGUUUAACCUCUAUUAAGUGGUGCAAGAUUAUUUGAUUCUUGUUACCUCUGAGAACGUUGUUUUUUGGUUGAGCGAGUUGAGCUUUUGCUUGAAGCAUUCGGAUAGCGGCUUUCGCUUCCGGACCGGAGCUGGACAAAGUGUGGAAGGCUUGAGCAGUGCUUGCACGUUUGGCUAGCAAUUAGCAACCGACUAAGAACUGGUAUGGACAAGGGGAAUCCAACAAUUUAAGCAUUGCGAUAACUGGAAAUGGUGUUGACGUAAUGUGAUUUCUGCCCAGUACUCUGAAUGUCAAAGUGAAGAAAUUCAACCAAGCGCGUGUAAACGGCGGGAGUAACUAUGACUCUCUCAAGGUUGCCAAAUGUCUCGUCAUCAAAUUAGUGACGCGCAUAAAUAGAUUUACGAGAUUCCCACUGUCCCUAUCUCCUAUCUAACGAAACCACAGCCAAGGGAACGGGCUUGGCAGAAUCAGCGGGGAAAGAAGACACUGUUGAACUUGACUCUAGUUCGAUUUUGUGAAAAGACACGAGAGGUACAGAAUAAGUAGGAGGAGCAAUCCAACAGUUAAAUACCACUACUUUCAUCAUUUUUUUACUUUUUAAAUUAAGCGGACUGAGGAUUAAUUUCCCACUUUCUAGCUUUAAGUACCUUCGUGGUGCGAUCCGAGUUUAAGACAUUGUCAGGUGGGGAGUUUGGCUGGGGCGGUACAUCUGUUAAAUAAUAACGUAGGUGUCCUACAGUUAGCUCAGUGAGAACAGAAAUCUCAUGUAUAACAAACGGGUAAAACCUCACUUGAUUUUGAUUUUCAGUACGAAUACGAACUGUGAAAGCAUGACCUAUACAUCCUUUAGACUUGGGAAAUUUUAAGCUAGAGGUUUCAGAAAAAUUACUACGGAGAGAACUGGCGUGUGGCAUCCAAUCUUUAAUAGCGACAUUGCCUUUUGAUCCUUCGAUGUCAGCUCUUCCUAUCAUUGUAAAUAAGACAGUUGGAUUGUUCACCCACUAAUAGGGAACUUCAGCUGGUUUAGACCGUCGUGAGACAGGCUUGUUUUACCCUACUGAUGAGUCAUUGUUGCAAUAGUAAUAUAAGUCAGGAAAGGAACCGUUAUUUCACGUAAUUGGUAUUUGCCGUUGACUCAAAAGUCAUUGUGGCGGAGCUACCGUGUGUAGGAUUACGACCGAACGCCUCUAAGUCAGAAUCCAUGUUAAAGCAACGAUUUUCACUUUUCUUAUUAUUAGACAAACAGAAAUGCAGUGCCUUGUGCACUGCCAAGGUAUAACAGACGGGCUUAUUCAGUACGGCGAAAAAUUGUGCUGAUGUAACCGUGAAUGAUAAUUUCAAAUAACAAGAGCGAUAAAUCCUUUGCA